Molecule: small nucleolar RNA, 133 nt
Organism: Myripristis murdjan (pinecone soldierfish)
Lineage: Eukaryota; Metazoa; Chordata; Actinopteri; Holocentriformes; Holocentridae
Gene: U8
Rfam family: U8 small nucleolar RNA
About the family: U8 is a member of the C/D class of snoRNA which contain the C (UGAUGA) and D (CUGA) box motifs. U8 is the RNA component of a small complex (the U8 snoRNP) which is required for accumulation of mature large subunit ribosomal RNAs, 5.8S and 28S rRNAs. U8 RNA has been identified in human, mouse, rat and Xenopus.
Source: Ensembl
UCGUCAGUGAGGUACAUCCUUACCUGUUACUCCAGUAAUGGAGUAUCAGAAAAUGAUGAAUGGAGGUUUAUGAGAUAUGAUUAUUAUCUCUGGCUUGUGGAGAACAGCAACACUCCACAAGACCCAUUCUGAU